This 2357-nucleotide ribosomal RNA is filed under the name Escherichia coli. RNAcentral's name for it is "partial 23S ribosomal RNA". It matches the Rfam family "Bacterial large subunit ribosomal RNA", at positions 588 to 2925 of the family's 2925-position model. Lineage: Bacteria; Pseudomonadati; Pseudomonadota; Gammaproteobacteria; Enterobacterales; Enterobacteriaceae. The record is from RNAcentral.
GGCGUGUGACUGCGUACCUUUUGUAUAAUGGGUCAGCGACUUAUAUUCUGUAGCAAGGUUAACCGAAUAGGGGAGCCGAAGGGAAACCGAGUCUUAACUGGGCGUUAAGUUGCAGGGUAUAGACCCGAAACCCGGUGAUCUAGCCAUGGGCAGGUUGAAGGUUGGGUAACACUAACUGGAGGACCGAACCGACUAAUGUUGAAAAAUUAGCGGAUGACUUGUGGCUGGGGGUGAAAGGCCAAUCAAACCGGGAGAUAGCUGGUUCUCCCCGAAAGCUAUUUAGGUAGCGCCUCGUGAAUUCAUCUCCGGGGGUAGAGCACUGUUUCGGCAAGGGGGUCAUCCCGACUUACCAACCCGAUGCAAACUGCGAAUACCGGAGAAUGUUAUCACGGGAGACACACGGCGGGUGCUAACGUCCGUCGUGAAGAGGGAAACAACCCAGACCGCCAGCUAAGGUCCCAAAGUCAUGGUUAAGUGGGAAACGAUGUGGGAAGGCCCAGACAGCCAGGAUGUUGGCUUAGAAGCAGCCAUCAUUUAAAGAAAGCGUAAUAGCUCACUGGUCGAGUCGGCCUGCGCGGAAGAUGUAACGGGGCUAAACCAUGCACCGAAGCUGCGGCAGCGACGCUUAUGCGUUGUUGGGUAGGGGAGCGUUCUGUAAGCCUGUGAAGGUGUACUGUGAGGUAUGCUGGAGGUAUCAGAAGUGCGAAUGCUGACAUAAGUAACGAUAAAGCGGGUGAAAAGCCCGCUCGCCGGAAGACCAAGGGUUCCUGUCCAACGUUAAUCGGGGCAGGGUGAGUCGACCCCUAAGGCGAGGCCGAAAGGCGUAGUCGAUGGGAAACAGGUUAAUAUUCCUGUACUUGGUGUUACUGCGAAGGGGGGACGGAGAAGGCUAUGUUGGCCGGGCGACGGUUGUCCCGGUUUAAGCGUGUAGGCUGGUUUUCCAGGCAAAUCCGGAAAAUCAAGGCUGAGGCGUGAUGACGAGGCACUACGGUGCUGAAGCAACAAAUGCCCUGCUUCCAGGAAAAGCCUCUAAGCAUCAGGUAACAUCAAAUCGUACCCCAAACCGACACAGGUGGUCAGGUAGAGAAUACCAAGGCGCUUGAGAGAACUCGGGUGAAGGAACUAGGCAAAAUGGUGCCGUAACUUCGGGAGAAGGCACGCUGAUAUGUAGGUGAAGCGACUUGCUCGUGGAGCUGAAAUCAGUCGAAGAUACCAGCUGGCUGCAACUGUUUAUUAAAAACACAGCACUGUGCAAACACGAAAGUGGACGUAUACGGUGUGACGCCUGCCCGGUGCCGGAAGGUUAAUUGAUGGGGUUAGCGCAAGCGAAGCUCUUGAUCGAAGCCCCGGUAAACGGCGGCCGUAACUAUAACGGUCCUAAGGUAGCGAAAUUCCUUGUCGGGUAAGUUCCGACCUGCACGAAUGGCGUAAUGAUGGCCAGGCUGUCUCCACCCGAGACUCAGUGAAAUUGAACUCGCUGUGAAGAUGCAGUGUACCCGCGGCAAGACGGAAAGACCCCGUGAACCUUUACUAUAGCUUGACACUGAACAUUGAGCCUUGAUGUGUAGGAUAGGUGGGAGGCUUUGAAGUGUGGACGCCAGUCUGCAUGGAGCCGACCUUGAAAUACCACCCUUUAAUGUUUGAUGUUCUAACGUUGACCCGUAAUCCGGGUUGCGGACAGUGUCUGGUGGGUAGUUUGACUGGGGCGGUCUCCUCCUAAAGAGUAACGGAGGAGCACGAAGGUUGGCUAAUCCUGGUCGGACAUCAGGAGGUUAGUGCAAUGGCAUAAGCCAGCUUGACUGCGAGCGUGACGGCGCGAGCAGGUGCGAAAGCAGGUCAUAGUGAUCCGGUGGUUCUGAAUGGAAGGGCCAUCGCUCAACGGAUAAAAGGUACUCCGGGGAUAACAGGCUGAUACCGCCCAAGAGUUCAUAUCGACGGCGGUGUUUGGCACCUCGAUGUCGGCUCAUCACAUCCUGGGGCUGAAGUAGGUCCCAAGGGUAUGGCUGUUCGCCAUUUAAAGUGGUACGCGAGCUGGGUUUAGAACGUCGUGAGACAGUUCGGUCCCUAUCUGCCGUGGGCGCUGGAGAACUGAGGGGGGCUGCUCCUAGUACGAGAGGACCGGAGUGGACGCAUCACUGGUGUUCGGGUUGUCAUGCCAAUGGCACUGCCCGGUAGCUAAAUGCGGAAGAGAUAAGUGCUGAAAGCAUCUAAGCACGAAACUUGCCCCGAGAUGAGUUCUCCCUGACCCUUUAAGGGUCCUGAAGGAACGUUGAAGACGACGACGUUGAUAGGCCGGGUGUGUAAGCGCAGCGAUGCGUUGAGCUAACCGGUACUAAUGAACCGUGAGGCUUAACCUU